This 1313-nucleotide ribosomal RNA is filed under the name Anisolampra panfilovi. RNAcentral's name for it is "16S ribosomal RNA". The stretch from base 1068 to 1226 matches the Rfam family "Archaeal large subunit ribosomal RNA", at positions 2542 to 2701 of the family's 2987-position model. The record is from RNAcentral. Lineage: Eukaryota; Metazoa; Arthropoda; Insecta; Blattodea; Blaberidae.
UAAAAUUUAUUUACUAUUAUUAAUAUUUUUUUAUAUAUAUAUUGUAUAUAAAUCAUUUUACUGUUGUUGUAUUUGUUAGAAAUUUAAUUAAUAUAAGUUAUUUUUUAUUAGUACUGUGAAGGAAGAGAAGGGAAAGUUUUUAAUAAUGUUAUUAUAUUGUAAGUUGAACUUAUUUUUUGUACCUUGUGUAUCAGAGUUUAUUAAUAAAUAGUUAUUGAUAUUAAUUUUCUCGAUUUCUUUAGAGUUAAUAAAUUAUUUUAUUUAUUGUGGAAUAAAUAUUAAUAAUAAUUUGUUGGUAAUGAAAUGUUAUUCGUUAAUGAGGAUAUCUAGUUUAUUAGGAAAUAAAUUUAAUUUAGAUUUUUUCUUUAAUACUUUUUAUAUAAAAAUUAAUUUUAGUUGGAAUUAUUAAUAAAAGGGAUAAGCUUUUUAUUAAAUAUUUAUAAGAUAGAAGUUGAUUAAGUUUUAUGGGUUUUAAAAUAACUAUUAUCAUAAGUAUAUUAAAAUUUUAUUUAUUUAUGGAUUAAUUUUUUUUUCUUUAAAAUUUUACUAAUAUAUUUUAAUUAAUAAAUAAUUAAUUAUAAUUAUGAUAAAAUUAGUAUAUAAAAAUUGAUUUAAUUUUAUUUUUGUUAAUUAAUUUUGAGGAAUUAGGCAAAAUUAUUGUUCGCUUGUUUAUCAAAAACAUCUCUUCUUGAUUUUGAAAUAAGAAGUAUAACCUGCCCACUGAUUUUAUUUAAUGGCCGCGGUAUAUUGACCGUGCAAAGGUAGCAUAAUCAUUAGUCUUUUAAUUAAAGGCUGGAAUGAAUGGUUGGACGAAAUAAUAACUAUCUUUUAAUUAUAAAUUAGAAUUUAAUCUUUAAGUUAAAAAGCUUAAAUAUUUUUUUGGGACGAGAAGACCCUAUAGAGUUUAUAUACUUAUUUUAAUUUAUUUAAGUUUGUUAAUUAGUGAAUUAAUUAAAGUAUUUUAUUGGGGUGAUGGAAAGAUAUAUAUAACUCUUUUUAUAAUUUAUUUAUUUAUUUAUAUUUUUGUUGAUCCAUGAUUGAUGAUUAUAAGACUAAAUUACCUUAGGGAUAACAGCGUAAUCUUUUUUAAGAGUUCAUAUCGACAUAAAGGGUUGCGACCUCGAUGUUGGAUUAAGAUUAUUUUUAGGUGUAGAAGCUUGAAAGUUAGGUCUGUUCGACCUUUAAAUUCUUACAUGAUCUGAGUUCAAACCGGCGUGAGCCAGGUUGGUUUCUAUCUAAUAGAAAUUAAAAUAUUUUAGUACGAAAGGACCAAAUAUUUAAAAUAAUUUUUAUUUAUUUAUGAAUAUUAUUAA